Pangasianodon gigas (Mekong giant catfish) is the source of this 72-nucleotide non-coding RNA. Lineage: Eukaryota; Metazoa; Chordata; Actinopteri; Siluriformes; Pangasiidae. The record is from the annotation of a GenBank genome assembly.
UCCCUGGAGGACUAGUGGUUAGGCCACAGCCCUCUCAUCGCUACGGCCCGGGUUCGCUUCCAUGCCAGGGAA